UUCUCGCUCAAAGAAUCGCAUUCAAAGCUCACAAACGGAAACAUCUUUUCGAAGGUCUUUCACCAGCAAUGGUCACUCGCGCUUUGGGAGAAAGUCCCCGGACAACCUUCCUUUGAGAAGGACUGCGGAAACGCGCCGCCAUAGAAGCACUUUGCGGCUUACUCCUAUUAUCAAUUCUCUCUCUUUCCUCCAUCCUUACACCGUCUGUACCGCCUGUCUACCGAAGCAGUGAACGAUGGUCGAACCAUGGAGACCAUACGGACGAUGAUAUGAGUCUGAGCUCCUUGUGUAAAACCUUCGGGAUCUGUGGAGGUGGAUUCGUGGGAGUUGUUGGGUCUGUUCUUGGGUAGAGAGGGAUGUCUUGGUAACUGGAAUCAUUUUCGUCGAGAUCGAUAGUUAUUGCGAUUGCUUCUUCUUUGGUUGAAGUAACUCGAUGGGGCUCAUUCUUGAUGCGAGA
Glarea lozoyensis ATCC 20868 is the source of this 457-nucleotide non-coding RNA. It matches the Rfam family "RNase MRP". Rfam says of the family: RNase MRP is an enzymatically active ribonucleoprotein with two distinct roles in eukaryotes. In mitochondria it plays a direct role in the initiation of mitochondrial DNA replication. NCBI's taxonomy places the organism in Eukaryota, Fungi, Ascomycota, Leotiomycetes, Helotiales, Helotiaceae. The record is from Rfam.